RNAcentral lists this long non-coding RNA (5595 nucleotides) under Sus scrofa (pig). RNAcentral describes it as "lncRNA (ENSSSCG00055002431.1)". Lineage: Eukaryota; Metazoa; Chordata; Mammalia; Artiodactyla; Suidae. The record is from RNAcentral.
UUUUUUUUUUUUUUACAAAUUGAAUGUGGCAACUCUGCAAUGAUAAGAAGUCUGGUGUCAUUUUUCAAACAGCAUUUGCAGACUUUGUUUCUCUGAGUCACAUUUUGUUAAUUCUUAAAAUAUUUUAAGCUUUUUCAUUAUUAUAUUUAUUAUGGUGAUAAGUGAUCAAUGAUCAUUGAUGUUAUUACUGCAAAAAAUUAUGACUUCCCAAAGGCCCAGAUAAUGAUUAGCGUUUUUUUUUAGCAGUAAAGUAUUUUUAAGAAAGAAAGGGAGAAAUAAAGAAAGAAGGAAAGGAAGAAAGAGAAAGAAAAGGAAAAUCGAGGAGGCAAGUUUAUUAGCAUUUGUUAGAAAAAAUUUUUGUUUUUGCAUCAUCUAGAUUACCAUUAUUGCAUGAAACAAUAAUGUGUAUUUACAGAUAGUCCUACUGAUUUUAAAGUUUUAUAUUUUUCAGAAGUUGAAUAUUUAAGGAAUAGUAAAAUGUUUUUCUCUAAUAUUAUAAAAAUCCUUACGUUCAUGCAGUGAAUAAGAUACCAGAAAAUUUUGUCUGCUAGGUAUACUCCAAUAAUUUAUUAUACAGAAUAGGUUUAUUAGAUACAUGAUAGAUGAAGACAAAAUAAACAGAAAUAUUUGAAAAAUUGGUAUUAAAAUAAACAGAAAAAUAAACUUUAUUCAGUAAAGUCUUAUUAAACUGUUAUUGAUAUAAACAGAAAAAUUUGAAAUACCUCCUUUUCUUUAAUUAUUCUACAAUAUUUUAAUAAAAAUUUUAUAAUCAUUAAGUGGCUCAUUCAAAAUCUAUUUCCUGUAUUUCACAUUUCAAAGUAAUAUUCAUUCUAUGAAACUGAUAAUGAGAGCAGCAAACACAAACUUUUGAAAUGUAGCAAAAUAGUUGAGAAAAUGUCUAAUAAAAAUUACAAAGAAAAAUUUUGUCUCAUAGCAGAAUAAUGGACUCUAGUGAAGAAAACUGAGAGCACCAUGAGAGUGAAUGAACUAUAUUUUCAUAAUCUUUGAUCAUCCUCUUUUUGGUUUCCUAUGCACAUACUGAUUAUACUUCUCCUUUUCAAGUGACACAUUCAGCAUAACCUGAAAUGAUUAAUUAUAUUUAGUGUCUCUGUUGUCAUCCUGAAAUACUGUUCAUUUCAACGAGAUUUUAGUGAAUAAUCAUUAAAAAGUUGUAACUAAAAACUUCCUCUAGGGUUGCAUAAAUCAGCUUGCUUUUGGUGUUAUUUUGUGUUCUCUCUGAAGAAAAUAUUUGAAAUGACAACAGCAAUAUAGUUAAUAAAAAAUGCAGAUGUAAAGGAUUAAUGGUUAAAGUUUAAAGUACUUAGAUAUUAGGGGCCAGGCAAAAGGUGAGGAAGUCCUAGUGGAUGUUGUUUUUAGGUCACUGUUCUGAAUUUCAUGCAGUUUAGAGGUCUUGGUAAGACAUUAUCAUCUAAAAACUAGAAAUAUGAUAUUAACCAUAUCCUAACAGCAGUGGAAAUGAAUGAGAAAUGUAUGAGAAAGAGCAUGAUGAGGCCUGAAUUUGUAAUAUUCAUCCACGUUUGAUAAUCUGUAAACACAAUAUAUGGUGAAAAUGGUUACAUGUAAUCAUGGAAACAUGAAGGAAAAAUGAAUGAAUUCUACAUUGCAAUUUAAGAAAUUAAGUUUAGGGAAUUCCCCUUGUGACUCAGUGGAUUACAAACCUGACCAGUAUACAUGAGCACAAGAGUUCGAUCCCUGGCCUCGCUCAGUGGGGCUAAAGGAUCCAGCAUUGCUGUGAGCUGUGGUGUAAGUCACAGAUACGGCUCAGAUCCCACAAUGCUGUAGCUGCAGCAUAGGCCAGCAGCUGCAGCUCCAAUUCAACCCCUAGCCUGUGAACUUCUAUGUGCUGCAGGUAGAGCCCUAAAGAGCAAACAAAAUUAAAACGUUUUUAAAAAGACAUCAAGUUUUAGGAAUUCCCAUGUAGCUCAGAGGAUUAAGGAGCUGGCAUUGUCACUGCUGUGGCUCUGAUUACAGCUGUGUGUAUAAUCCUAGCAUGGCCAAAAAAAGACAGACAUUAACUUUAGAAGAUAUGUUAAGGCAACAGAACACAUUUUAGACAAAGAAUCACCACUGAAAUUCUGAGAAUUCUUAGGGGAUCAUUAAGAAUGGCAGUUCCCAAGUCCCCAACCUGAAGAAGAGUAAUAGAAAAGGAAUUAUCUGCUUCCCAUGGAAUCCAAAUGCUUACCCUCAUGCUGAAAUAUAUGGUCAAAAAAGACACAUUUAUCAUGUUUAUCCAUAUAAGCAUAUAUGUGAUCAACGAAUACUGACAAAUGUACUUCUAAACCAGUCAAAAACUAAUCAGUGAUUUCUCAUAAUACAUUUGAGUCCAAAAUAUAUUAUUCACCACUUGUGAUAUGCUAGGAAAAUUUUUAGAUAAAAACUAAUACUAGCAAGUCUCAAAGUUCAUGAAUCAAAAAGAUCCUAUUUUGACUAGAAGAAAUGAAACAGAUACCUGCAAAAUAAGUAAUUGUAUGAAUAAAUUUUAUAAUAGAGCAAGAGUAUUUUUUAAAAGGGUUCUGAUAUAUUAGCAGAUUAGAAGAUCAGGAGACACAGAAGAUGUAUAUCCUCCUUCCUAUCUUUAUUUCUGCAGGGCCAGGUUCGAUCCCUGGCCAGCACAGUGGGUUAAAAGAUCUGGCAGUGCCAUAGUCACAACUAGAAUCUGAUCCCUGACCUGGGACUCCAUAUGCUCAGGAUGGAAAAAAAGAAAAAAGAAAAAAAGAAAAGAAGAUGUUAAAAUGUUAGACUCUAUUAACACAGCCAUAGCCAAUUUUAACUGUUACUCAAAAUUGAAAGACAUUGAAAGUCACGAGCAUUCUAUUAUAGGGCCUAAUUGUUGCUGCCUUUUUUGUUUUUGUUGUUUUCAUUCAAAAUCCAUAUUAAUUCAAUAUAAAUUUUUAUGAAUUAUAAUAAAGUUAUUUUUAGUUUACAAAUGGAUGUAGUGCCACAGGGUUUUACCAAGGAAUAUCUGGUUGUAGAAUAACAACAUUUUGUCUGCAUUAGUUUCUAAUGAUCUUUGGAUACGUGAAAGACAACAGUCUUUGAUGCCAUGUGAAUGGGUUUGACAUAAUUUUCAAGUUAGCAAUGUGCUUAUGGGCAAUUUAAACGAUUAAACGAUUAUCUAUUCUUCCCUGAACCUGAUCUUUCUUCUCUCAAAUGAAUAUAAUACUUUUCUCAUAUGUUGCUAUCAUAAAAGACUGUUAUCAUAAAAGACUGUUAUAUAUGUAGCAUAUAAGUACUAAAUAAAUUUACUAUUGUGUACAACAAUUAACCCAAUAUUUUAAAGAAAAUGACACUUUUUCUAGUGUGUCAUUUUCUAGGUGAAACUACAAAAUUUGACCUGAUGGUCAUCUCAGAAGAGGCAAUUACCAAGUGGGUCACAUAGAAAGACGUGGAGGGGCGUUCCCGUCGUGGCACAGUGGUAACUAAGUGUCUGGUAGAAAUAGAAGUUCACCUCCCUUUAAAGAAAGGAGCUGCCUACCUGAGGGAAAUGCAGUCCGCACAGACUCCAGCUUUCAGCUCCUUCAGGCUAAGCUUCACAGAGCCAACUGACCAAAUGUCCAUCCUUUCCCUGGUCAAUUCACCUUCAGGGACUGAAUGAGGCAGGGUAAUGGCCCAGAGUUUUUGCCUCCCCCAAAAACACUCAGGAAGGCAAUAUUGCUACAGAGCUUUUGGUACCUUGAAUGAGGCUUUGUCGGGCAGUAUUACAGUUCCAAUCAUACACUGUCUGAUCCUGCCAGAUCCCAUCCUGCCCACUUUCCUUUCACAGAUGUUGAUCACAAGGUGUUGACAUACGGCACUCCAAACUCUGUCACAUCUGCUUCUGAAGAACCUUAAAUAUGACAGUUUAGCCAGAAGUGAUUGAAAACGGCGAUAAGGUUUUACAGCUAAAUCACCAUCCACCUGGACAGAAUAAAGAUCCUCAUCAUUCUUGAUAGCUGCAGUCCAAGCAGUCCCUGGCACAAGAUGGUGGUUCAGUUGCUAAAACCAGAGAGGAAUCUUGGUCUCUGGGUGGAAGAAAGUGCAUUAGCAGUCUUGCCAUGAAUUUGAGACAUAGGAAAAAAAUAGUAGAUGUUAGAAAGUGGUAUUAUGUAAGAGACAGAGUGAGCAUUUGAGACAAAGAAAAUAGCACUUGAAAGACAAGUAUGGAAGCCUGAGGGUCACUUUGGUUACAUAUGAAAAUCUCGAAUUUCCUCUAAGGGAAGGGAGAGAAAGCUGAAAAAAUUAGAAAUGUGGUUAAACUUCAAAGAUAGCUAAGCACCCAGCCAAAGUAAGUAUAUCAUGCCAAGAUCAGAGCUCUGGCAGGGAAAAAAGAAACCCUCACACAUAAAUCUUAUAAACCUUGUGAGCCUAUAGAUGCAGACGGUCUAUCCAUCCUUGAUAAGAGUUAACACUUCCUCUAAACUGAAAAAUAAUGCAGAGGCUUCUCUCUUCCAAAGCAACAAUCUCUAGGGAUUAUUAGAAUUUACCUGGCCAAAUAUCCUGAACGAAGUUGUUGGGUUUUUUGGUUUGUUGUUUUUUUUGUCUUUUUUUUUUUUGUUUUCCCUUAGAUUAAAUACGUAAGUCAUAUUCCUUUACUACUACAAACAAAUCUAUAGGUAAUUGUAUUAGUCGGAAAUCAUUAGUAAUACUAGUGUUAAUCCAUUAACUUUUUUGUCUUUUGUCUUUUUAGGGCCACACCCAUGGCAUAGGGGGGUUCCCAGGCUAGGGGUUGAACCAGAUCUGUAGCUCCUGGCCUAUCCACCGCCACGGCAAUGUGGGAUCCGAGCCACAGCUGUGACCAGCACCACAGCUCACAGCAAUGCCAGAUCCUUAACCCACUGAGCAAGGCUAAGGAUCGAACCACAUCCUCAUGGAUACUAGUUGAGUUUGUUAACCACUGAGCCACACGGGAACUCCCAAUCCAUUAACUUUUAAAAGAAUAUACCCACAACUGAUUUGUUUCGCAAGUAACAUAAAGACAUUUAUUUUUAAAUUAUCAAUAAAGUAAUUGUUUACAUUUAUUUAAAAAAAUGUAAACAACAAAAAACCCUUGAACGUCACCCCUCAGGACCUACCCACCAUUUUGUCCAAUUAGUCUAUGACUCAUGUUAUAUUACAGAAUAACCCAAGUGAGAGCAACCUCAGUCUCAGAAGAAAGGAAUGGACUAAAACAUUUUGUAUUAACAAAAGCAAUGUUAAUACUUAGCUAGCUUUUACCUGGAAGGAACCAUAGGAGAACACAUGAAAAUAUUUUCUUAGAAUGCUUAAUUAAGAGAUCUGUAAAAUAAAAUUGAAUAGGGAAGAUUUCCUGACUCAGGCACACUGUCCUAAAGUCUACUAUGUAAUAAAUACUUAGGACAACAUACAAUGGUGUGACUCAUUAUGAUGAUGGCUCAUAGAGUUGUUAAAAAAGCAAUGUCUUUCAUGAGUAAGUCUGUAAUCCAGAUGAUGGAAAAAAUAGUGUGAAAAAAAUGUUGAAAGAAGGCAAAAUCUUUUUCAAAGCAUGGAAUCAAAGGGAAUAUUCCCAAAUUCAUUCUUUAAACCCAUUGCUACCCUAAUACAAAACCCAGACCAAAACCUUAUAAAAAAUAAAAGUAC